AGUUUGGACAAUAAGUGAUCGGAAUAUUGAUAAAUUAGUGAGAUUUUUUUCCUUUUAAAAGGAAAAUAUCUUCCGGAGCUAGGGAAUUUAUGUAUUGGUGAUAAGGUUAAAUUCUUCGUAAUAUAAUAAAAAAAGGAAGUAUACUUGCCUUAAUUCUAAUCGCUCCAACUUUGAACAGUAAGAAGCAAUAGCAUCCAUAAGUUGAUCAACGUGAAUGUUCACGGAGAGGCGUUCAGUGGUACCCAUUACGAGGAUCCGAGCAUUGGUUAGGAUGGGCAAGACACUCAUCCAGAGUUGAUCAGUGAUGUGUGUCAUCCCGGAGAGUACGAGAGCAUGUAGCUGUCCACCGUGGCGCGAUAGGAACUUGAGGAGGGCUUCGUCGGAUAAGUUGUCCGAUGCUUCGAGAUUGAGAGCUAUGAGGGAUUUAGUGUUGCCACCUUCCAUCCAUGCCUUGAGUACGGUAUCAUUGAAGCCGUUGAUUUGUCCAGCACUAAGGAAGCGCAAUGAAGGAAUUCGCACGAGUAGAUCAAUGAGAGCUUCACUACUGAUAUCCGUUGCUGUGAUAUCGAGCUCCAGGAGGGCACAUUUGUCCCAUUCCACCUGCAGGAGGUAUUCAGAUCGAAGGCUUGUGCCAUUCAUGAGGAGGCACGUGAGUCGUUUAGAUCGCUGAAUGAGUGUCUUCAGCGUAGAUCCCGUGACUUUGUUGCAGUAAUUCACAGCAAGGCAUUCAAGUUGGAUGCAAUUGGAGCUGAAUGCAUCAAUAUGUGAGUCAUCGACAAAGUUUAUUCCAUACAGGUUGAUCACACGUAGAUUUGGUGUGGCAGAUUUUAAUUUGUGAACAUUGAUCACCUCAUAAAUUUCUUCUUCCUCUUCCUCGCACUUCUCAUACGUGCCCAGGAGAUGGAGGACCUCAAGGCCGUUUAUAAAAUUAUAGAUUUUUCGCAUAAAACCCUCCAUGAAGAUAACUUCCGAGAGGCAGAUACACAUAUAGCGAAGUUUUGUGGGAAAUGCCUGCAUCUCACUGAAAUCGUGAAGCUGCAUAGCUGUGAGAAUUUUUUUUUUUGAGAAAAUAUUUUAGUCAGUAGCAUAAAACUCUUCGGGACUGCAAAUUGGUUUCUAAAAGGACUCACCAGUUGAGAAAUCGAGCAGCAUGUGUGUGAGAUUAGGACACUUGGCGGCUAAUUCGUGCAGAACUGUGUGCGUGAUCAACUCAAUGGGUAAUUCAAUAUACCGCAGAGAUGGUCCAAAUCUCACCGAAAUCAAUCCCAAAAGAGAUUCGAGUGAUCCCACAUGGAGCCCCGAGACUUCCGGACGAAGUGAGACAUUCUUCCAUAGGCGCGUAUCGUAAGCAACUUGACGCCAUCGACGACAAACCCGUGCCAUACGGCAGAUCUCCAAAUGGCUCAAAUAAGAGAAAAUAUUGAGGAGCACCUUAUCCGGGAGUUUCUCGAUCGUCUGCAGAGAAUACACAUUGGAUAUAUUUCAGCAGGUGUUUCGCUUCAGAUGCUAUGCCAAGAUCUUCGUCAGUGAAGCGACUGCGGUCGUGAUGAAAACAUUUCACUGAUUAUGCGCCAAAAAUAGUUUUGAUGAGUAGAAUUUAUUUUAAUUCAUUUACUUUUAAUUUACUACUUGCACUGUGAAUGUGAAUUUAUUGGGCGCAAAUCACACUCAAGAAUUUUCUAAAUUUUACUUCAAAAACUGACUUUAAGACAAUCAUCCCAUUAAAAUUACACCGGAAAUGGAGAUCCCAUAAAAAUGUAGCAAUAAAUAUUUAAUUGAUUCAGAA
Lutzomyia longipalpis is the source of this 1786-nucleotide long non-coding RNA. RefSeq lists it as uncharacterized. NCBI's taxonomy places the organism in Eukaryota, Metazoa, Arthropoda, Insecta, Diptera, Psychodidae. The record is from RefSeq and is a predicted model, not a curated record. The transcript has 2 exons.